This 582-nucleotide ribosomal RNA is filed under the name Klebsiella aerogenes. RNAcentral describes it as "partial 23S ribosomal RNA". It matches the Rfam family "Bacterial large subunit ribosomal RNA", at positions 398 to 982 of the family's 2925-position model. RNAcentral also lists the same sequence under 1 other name. Lineage: Bacteria; Pseudomonadati; Pseudomonadota; Gammaproteobacteria; Enterobacterales; Enterobacteriaceae. The record is from RNAcentral.
UGUGAACUCGAAGAGUAGGGCGGGACACGUGGUAUCCUGUCUGAAUAUGGGGGGACCAUCCUCCAAGGCUAAAUACUCCUGACUGACCGAUAGUGAACCAGUACCGUGAGGGAAAGGCGAAAAGAACCCCGGCGAGGGGAGUGAAAAAGAACCUGAAACCGUGUACGUACAAGCAGUGGGAGCACCUUCGGGUGUGACUGCGUACCUUUUGUAUAAUGGGUCAGCGACUUAUAUUCUGUAGCAAGGUUAACCGUAUAGGGGAGCCGCAGGGAAACCGAGUCUUAACUGGGCGUUAAGUUGCAGGGUAUAGACCCGAAACCCGGUGAUCUAGCCAUGGGCAGGUUGAAGGUUGGGUAACACUAACUGGAGGACCGAACCGACUAAUGUUGAAAAAUUAGCGGAUGACUUGUGGCUGGGGGUGAAAGGCCAAUCAAACCGGGAGAUAGCUGGUUCUCCCCGAAAGCUAUUUAGGUAGCGCCUCGUGAAUUCAUCUUCGGGGGUAGAGCACUGUUUCGGCUAGGGGGUCAUCCCGACUUACCAACCCGAUGCAAACUACGAAUACCGAAGAAUGUUAUCACGGGA